Molecule: ribosomal RNA, 254 nt
Filed under: uncultured bacterium
Lineage: Bacteria
Description: partial 16S ribosomal RNA
Rfam family: Bacterial small subunit ribosomal RNA
Source: RNAcentral
UACGUAGGUGACAAGCGUUGUCCGGAUUUACUGGGCGUAAAGAGCGCGCAGGCGGUCGUUCAAGUCGAGUGUGAAAGCCCCCGGCUCAACUGGGGAGGGUCAUUCGAUACUGAUCGACUCGAAGGCAGGAGAGGGAAGUGGAAUUCCCGGUGUAGUGGUGAAAUGCGUAGAUAUCGGGAGGAACACCAGUGGCGAAGGCGACUUCCUGGCCUGUUCUUGACGCUGAGGCGCGAAAAGCUAGGGGAGCAAACGGG